Molecule: non-coding RNA, 3496 nt
Organism: Meleagris gallopavo (turkey)
Lineage: Eukaryota; Metazoa; Chordata; Aves; Galliformes; Phasianidae
Source: RefSeq, a predicted model, not a curated record
UAUAUCAAUUUUGUUCUGCAGAAUCGCAAAAAGGAUGAUACUGUAUCUAGUCACAUAAAGGAAUUAGAGAGCACCACUAAAGAUAAUAAUUUGAAACAAAAUAAUGAAAGUCCUGAAGAAGAAGUAGUGCAAGUAAAACAUGAUGGAGAACAAGAACAUAAUUCAGGUUUUACUAAAGAGCUGACAAAAACUGAUGAUUUUUUAUCAGAUACACAUGUUGUAUCUGACUCAAAAGAAGUGAAUAAUGAAGAGAAAGCAGAAAAGGAAAAGAAUAAUAAAGUGGAAGAAACACAUGAUGGUGAUAUAAGCUUGCAGAGUGUGACCACAGUUGGAAACCACAAACCCAAAACCAGUUCAGAAGAAAGUGAAGCAGUUAGUGUUCAAGAGCAAAAAGGAAUUAUUGCUUCAUUUGAAUUAGCAGCACAGUCUUCAAAAGGAAAUCAGGCAACAGCAGUGAAAAGUUUGCCUUCUUCACCAGAAUCGUCAUUGUCACCAGCUUCAUCUACACAACCACAGCUCACAGAAGGAUCACAUUUCAUGUGUGUAUAGUUACAGAGAACUCUAAUGGCUUCUGUUGAAACAAUUCAUGCCUGAGAUGUAUGGACCCGACCUACGGAAAUGUGAGAAGAUAUUGUACAGUAUAUUUUAAAUCUAUGAAAUUCAUAGUUCUGAUGCUUUUGGCCACAGAGCAUCAUUUUAUCACUUCCUGGAAAAUGUUUAUUCCAAGAGAGCUUUAAAUGGCCCAUAUGUACACUCAACAACCUUCAGAUUGUUCUCCUGAUACCAGCUUGCUGCUAUGAUUUCUGUGCACAUAAAAUUAAGGCUCUUCUCAGUGUGCAGCCUAUAGUCAGGACUUUAUUUUCCAGAAUUUAAUGUUCUUUUAAGUAUGGAUCACAUAAGUUUACUUUUUGGCUUCUUUUAGAUGCAUAACUCAGUUAAUUUUACAUAUCACCACUAAAACCCUGUUUUACACUUUUUAAACACUACAAUUUAUUGUUUUAACAUUUUAUUUGUAAAAAUUUUUAUAUAUAUAUAUACAUAUAGAUAUAUUUAAAAUGUGCCAUUUUUAUUAUUGCUUAGUAAAAGAUGUCCUGUUUCUGCUGUAAUUAUUCCUUGGUCAGGUUGCAAUGUCAGCAGUUACUGCCACACUUCUGUCAACAUAUACUUUAAUGUCAGUGCUUACUUUUACUUAAAUAAAAUGGAGUGUAGGUAUUUUGAGGUACUGGGCUUUUCCUUUGUUGGGUUAGAGUGUGUACAGCAAUAAGCAGGUUCUCAAUCCAGUACUUAGUUUGUGUACAAAUGUAAUUAUGUUCAUUGUAUAUAUAGUAUACAAUGAGCACAUGCGAUGUAAGUAAAGAAGCCACUUAUUGUUCAGAUAAGAAUGUUCAUAUCUCAUUUCUUUUAUAUCAUAUUAAAUAAAUGUCGAUGUUCUUAAGGACUGGUAUGGUUAGUAUUUCUUCCAGCAAGCAGAUGUCAUACAGCAUAUUCCACCUUUUGAUGUGGGGAGUGCAACAAUCUUAUCUCAUUGGCGACACCACCUGUCAACCAGAGUAGCAUGACAGACUCUUACGAUUCCAGUCUUCCUCUCCAGGAAAGAAUAAGGCUGCAACACACAACAAAAAGACAACAUGAGAUCGAGAUGCAAGAAAUACAGGUUCAGCUCCUGUCUCUCCCGGGCUUGUAUCGUGGUGUUGGAAUAAUCACUUAGUCAUUCUGUGUGCCUCCAUUUCCUGCCUGUUUAUUUGAGACGGAAUAGCCUGCCAUGCUGUGGUGUGGCAAGUAGUAAUUCAGUGUUUGGAAACGUCGAACACCACAUUCAGUGGGGUUAAGGAGAGAUGUAUGAUGAUUCCUUGAGGCUUUGACAUCUGCAAAGCAUCUUCCAGAAACCGAAAGAAAACCCAAGGCCAUUUGUCAAGUGUCAUCAUCCUACAGAUGUUGCUGGCUUCACUUCUCCUUCUUACGCAGCUGUCUGAAUUUGCCUGAGACAAGAGGUUUAGAGAAGAAUGAUGAAAAAUGAAAUGAUUUAAAGGGCAAGCUUUUGAAUCUAAGAUGUAAAGCCGAGAAACCUUUUAAAGAUUCAAGCAACCACUGUGUGCUUUGGUGCAUGUGCGUGCCAUAAGUAGUAAGGAAAGUUUCUUAAGAAGGCGACUGCCAGCUCUCAUUGUGCUCUUUUUAUCACAUAAAUCAUAGCCCAUUCAAGUUAAUCUUAAGGUACUAGAGACUAUAUAAUUCAGUGUGCUUUUCCAAAGACGAGUGCCUGAGAUUGACACAUGGUUUGAAAUUAACUCCUUAUCAUUACCACCUUGAGAAGGAGGUUGUGUUCACUGUACAUUUCUGCCUUCCCAUCUCUACUCUCAGUUCUUUCUGGGACUCUAUGCCACAGAGACACAGAGCACACUUUCUACUUGUUACUCUGCCUUUUUCUUUGAAAAGCAGAGAACUGGGAGGCAGAAAUUAGCAGUGGAGCUUGGAGGGUCAUAGCGAAAGAGAUGGCAGAAGGAAAAGAGAUGAAUCACGAUGCAGGAAGACAGCACGCAGCUUAAAGUUUGACCAAGUAGCCCUUCCUCUUUUUUUGGAACAAGAGCCCCAGAUUAGCACAUCCUUCCACCCAAAAUGCAGAGCAAAGAGGAGGAGUGUGAUUUUUAUAGCUCAGCCAGCUGAGAUUUAAGUUCAGUGGCAUCAUUGGAACACCUGGGGCAAAACAAAUACAACACACCCUGUUCCCUCCCUAACUCUUACACAGAGAGCUGUUCAGCUGUCAAGCUUUGCAAUCUCUUUCUGUCCUUGCUGCCAAAAAAAAGAUUUGCAACCAAUAAAGGAAAGAAUGACUAAGUGGUUUUUGGACAUUUGUAGAUCUUGUCUGUGUUUGAAGCAGCUGUCAGUUUGGUGUGUCUGCACAGUAUGUGCAGUUUAUGCUGAACUUGGGGGGCAUGGGAGAAUUUGUAAGUUUGCUGGUGUGUGACUGUUGGCAAAGAUGGCAAAACGUGAAUGAUGCAGGAAUGCAGUCAUGCUCACAGACUGUAACUUCACUUCCUGUGGGCACCUGCAGCGAAGACUUGCUAUUUCAUUGGGUGCUCUAUCUUUUUGUCUUAUGGAAAAGAACUAAUGGCUCUGUGUUCUCACAGAGCAUUUACUGUCUUUUACCUCAUCAGAAUAACUCAUCCCGGUGAUCGUACUCUGAGAUACAGAAAUAUCAGAAUACUGAUAUUGACAGCUUUCAAACAUCUAUUUUAAGUUUGUAUCUAGGAUAUUUUUAUAUUUCUGAUUGAUUGCUUUAUUGGCUAUUGCACUGACACUUGUAUAUACAGAACAUGUACUUUUUUUCAAAAGCAAGAGUCCUUAGGAAUAAUGCAACACAUUCUCUACAGAUGUUCAUGCUUUUCGGAACCAAUUACAUCUAUUUUCAUCUUCUGUUCACCAUUUGCACUGUUCCAAGACUACUAGAGAAUGUGAUUCUUUUCGCUCCCUCAAUAAAGUGACAUAACUCAAAAAGUUA